GUUGACCUCGGAUCAGGUAGGGAUACCCGCUGAACUUAAGCAUAUCAAUAAGCGGAGGAAAAGAAACCAACAGGGAUUGCCUUAGUAACGGCGAGUGAAGCGGCAAUAGCUCAAAUUUGAAAGCUGGCGUCUUCGACGUCCGCGUUGUAAUUUGUAGAGGAUGCUUCGGCGAAGACUCCUGCCUAAGUCCCCUGGAACGGGGCGUCAUAGAGGGUGAGAAUCCCGUAUGUGGCGGGCGGUCCGAGCCAUGUGAAGCUCCUUCGACGAGUCGAGUUGUUUGGGAAUGCAGCUCUAAAUGGGAGGUAAAUUUCUUCUAAAGCUAAAUAUUGGCCAGAGACCGAUAGCGCACAAGUAGAGUGAUCGAAAGAUGAAAAGCACUUUGGAAAGAGAGUUAAAAAGUACGUGAAAUUGUUGAAAGGGAAGCGCUUGCAACCAGACUCGCUCGUAGUUGCUCAGCCGGCCUCUUGGCCGGUGUACUCUUCUGCGAUCGGGCCAGCAUCAGUUCGGGCGGCCGGAUAAAGGUGUCGGGAAUGUAGCACCCUUCGGGGUGUGUUAUAGCCCGGCGCGGAAUGCGGCCAGCCUGGACUGAGGAUCUCGCUUCGGCAAGGAUGCUGGCGUAAUGGUUGUAAGCGGCCCGUCU
This 640-nucleotide ribosomal RNA is filed under the name Guignardia ardisiae. RNAcentral describes it as "eukaryotic LSU rRNA". It matches the Rfam family "Eukaryotic large subunit ribosomal RNA", at positions 1 to 654 of the family's 3401-position model. Lineage: Eukaryota; Fungi; Ascomycota; Dothideomycetes; Botryosphaeriales; Phyllostictaceae. The record is from RNAcentral.